GGAAGUAAAAGCCGUAACAAGGUCUCCGUAGGUGAACCUGCGGAGGGAUCAUUACAGAGUUCAUGCCCUCACGGGUAGAUCUCCCACCCUUGUGUAUUCAUACCUUUGUUGCUUUGGCAGGCCGCUGGGCUUCGGCCUGGCCACCGGCUCCCGGGCUGGUGCGCGCCUGCCAGGGGACCUCUAAACUCUGUUUGUCAGUGUCGUCUGAGUAUUAUACAAUCGUUAAAACUUUCAACAACGGAUCUCUUGGUUCUG
RNAcentral lists this unclassified non-coding RNA (255 nucleotides) under plant metagenome. RNAcentral describes it as "partial contains small subunit ribosomal RNA, internal transcribed spacer 1, and 5.8S ribosomal RNA". The stretch from base 1 to 54 matches the Rfam family "Eukaryotic small subunit ribosomal RNA", at positions 1778 to 1831 of the family's 1831-position model. The record is from RNAcentral.